Non-coding RNA from Xylaria sp. FL0043, 91 nucleotides. NCBI's taxonomy places the organism in Eukaryota, Fungi, Ascomycota, Sordariomycetes, Xylariales, Xylariaceae. The record is from the annotation of a GenBank genome assembly.
UCUCGAUUGGUCUAGUGGUAAGGAUACCUGCUUGUCAUUCCGUCCGUUAUUAGGUUCGCAGGUGGCCGGGGUUCGAUUCCCCGAUCGAGAG